GAGGAAAGUCCGGACUCCCAAUAGAAAAUGAUUGUUGAAUAAAUUUCAAUAUGAGUAAUCGUGAGGAAAGUGCCACAGAAAAAAACCACUUAGUUAUAGAUGCUGAGAAAGGGUGCAAAGGUGCAGUAAAAGUGCACCAGAGGUAUUGUCGAGAUAUUUGCUAGGUAAACCCCGUUCAGGAGCAAAGAUAUUGUAAUUUAUUUGUAUCUAUCGAAUAGAAUUACUUGGAAAUAAAUACCGCAUUAAGUAGUAUUUUAUAUGAUACUACUUUAGAUAAAUAACUACCCUUCUUGCUUAUUUGAAAAUAUUAUAGAAGAACAGAAUCCGGCUUAU
Molecule: RNase P RNA, 333 nt
Filed under: Helminthocladia australis
Lineage: Eukaryota; Rhodophyta; Florideophyceae; Nemaliales; Liagoraceae
Description: Ribonuclease P RNA
Rfam family: Bacterial RNase P class A
About the family: Ribonuclease P (RNase P) is a ubiquitous endoribonuclease, found in archaea, bacteria and eukarya as well as chloroplasts and mitochondria. Its best characterised activity is the generation of mature 5'-ends of tRNAs by cleaving the 5'-leader elements of precursor-tRNAs.
Source: RNAcentral